GCUUGCUUAAAGGGGCCGUAGCCGGAUGGGUAAAUCCCCUGUGAAAUCGUCGCGCUUAACGUGACGGCGUGCAGGGGCAACUGCUCGUCUCGAGACCGGGAAGGGUCAGAGGUAUGCCGUGGGGACUGGUAAAAUGGAAUAAUCCACGGUAGACCACCAAUGGCGAAGGCAUCUGACCGGAACGGAUCUGACGGUGAGGGACGAAAGCUGGGGGAGCGAACCGGAUUAGAUACCCGAGUAGUCCCAGCUGUAAACGCUGUGAGCUAGGUGUCGCCCCUCCCACGAGGAGGGGCGGUGUCGAAACGAAGGUGCUAAGCUCACCGCCUGGGAAGUACGGUCGCAAGACUGAAACUUUAAGGAAUUGGCGGGGGAGCACUACAAGGGGUGCGGCGUGCGGUUUAAUUUAACUCAACGCAGAGAACCUCACUAGGAGCGACGGCAGGAUGAAGGCCAGUCUGAAGGGCUUGCCCGACGAGCCGAGAGGUAGUGCAUGGCCGUCGUCAGCUCGUGCCGUAAGGUGUCCAGCUAAGUCUGGUAACGAGCGAGACCUGUGCCCACAGUUGCUAACGACACAUGUGGAUCGAGCACACUGUGGGGACUGCAUUCGUAAGAGUGAGGAAGGUGCAGGCAACGGUAGGUCCGCAUGCCCCGAAAAGCC
Molecule: ribosomal RNA, 658 nt
Filed under: uncultured archaeon
Lineage: Archaea
Description: bacterial SSU rRNA
Rfam family: Archaeal small subunit ribosomal RNA
Source: RNAcentral